This 492-nucleotide ribosomal RNA is filed under the name uncultured bacterium. RNAcentral's name for it is "partial 16S ribosomal RNA". It matches the Rfam family "Bacterial small subunit ribosomal RNA", at positions 29 to 507 of the family's 1533-position model. The record is from RNAcentral.
AGUGAACGCUGGCGGUAGGCCUAACACAUGCAAGUCGAACGGCAGCACAGUAAGAGCUUGCUCUUACGGGUGGCGAGUGGCGGACGGGUGAGGAAUACAUCGGAAUCUACUUUUUCGUGGGGGAUAACGUAGGGAAACUUACGCUAAUACCGCAUACGACCUACGGGUGAAAGCAGGGGAUCUUCGGACCUUGCGCGAUUGAAUGAGCCGAUGUCGGAUUAGCUAGUUGGCGGGGUAAAGGCCCACCAAGGCGACGAUCCGUAGCUGGUCUGAGAGGAUGAUCAGCCACACUGGAACUGAGACAAGGUCCAGACUCCUAAGGGAGGCAGCAGUGGGGAAUAUUGGACAAUGGGCGCAAGCCUGAUCCAGCCAUACCGCGUGGGUGAAGAAGGCCUUCGGGUUGUAAAGCCCUUUUGUUGGGAAAGAAAGGCAGCAGGUUAAUACCCCGCUGUUCUGACGGUACCCAAAGAAUAAGCACCGGCUAACUUCGUG